This 69-nucleotide transfer RNA is filed under the name Eoscarta assimilis. RNAcentral describes it as "tRNA-Pro". The record is from RNAcentral. Lineage: Eukaryota; Metazoa; Arthropoda; Insecta; Hemiptera; Cercopidae.
CAACAAGUAGUUUAAUAAAAUUUGGAUUUUGGAGAUCUAAGAUAGGAAAAAUUUAUUUCCUUUUGUUGA